GGGCAGGUAGCUCAGUCGGUACGAGCGUCCGCCUGAAAAGUGGAAGGUCGGCGGUUCGACCCCGCCCCUGCCCA
Molecule: transfer RNA, 74 nt
Organism: Frankia sp.
Lineage: Bacteria; Bacillati; Actinomycetota; Actinomycetes; Frankiales; Frankiaceae
Rfam family: tRNA
About the family: Transfer RNA (tRNA) molecules are approximately 80 nucleotides in length. Their secondary structure includes four short double-helical elements and three loops (D, anti-codon, and T loops). Further hydrogen bonds mediate the characteristic L-shaped molecular structure. tRNAs have two regions of fundamental functional importance: the anti-codon, which is responsible for specific mRNA codon recognition, and the 3' end, to which the tRNAs corresponding amino acid is attached (by aminoacyl-tRNA synthetases). tRNAs cope with the degeneracy of the genetic code in two manners: having more than one tRNA (with a specific anti-codon) for a particular amino acid; and 'wobble' base-pairing, i.e. permitting non-standard base-pairing at the 3rd anti-codon position.
Source: Rfam